RNAcentral lists this long non-coding RNA (7921 nucleotides) under Mytilus galloprovincialis (Mediterranean mussel). The record is from RNAcentral. Lineage: Eukaryota; Metazoa; Mollusca; Bivalvia; Mytilida; Mytilidae.
GGUAAAAUCAAUAUAGUCAUAAUGUAAAAAAGUUGCCCCUUGAAGUACCAAGCAUUUUUCACUGCUUAAUAUUUUUGUAUCUAUAACCGUUCAAGAAUUAUAGGGAAAUGAAAAACUUAUAAAAAUCUAAAAUAUGACCUUGACCUUUGACCUUGACCUAAUUUUCUAAGUUAGGAUCCAGGGGACUCAAAUAAAAACAUUCCAGGGUUAUACGGUCAACGGUUUAUGAGUUAAAAAAACAUACCGACAAAUUUAUUCCGUAAAGGUAGAUAACUCCUAUAAAAUUUAAUCGAAUCGCUUCGAUCCAAAUGAGCCAAAAAUUAGUGAGGAUGUAACGAACAAUUUGUAAAAAGAAUUUUGUCGCUAUCUAUUUUUGGUACGAAGGAGAUACACUCUGAUGAUAAACAGUAAAUAGGGAGAUAACUCUUACAAAGAAAUUGGUUCGGCUUAGCAGGGUGAAAUUUAAAAGCGCAUAAACUAUACGAUACAAUCUGAGAAAUAUCAAAGCGACAUAUUGCGAAACAAACAUUUAUCGCAAGAACAAAAGUUGGCGGAAAAAAAAAAAAAAAAAAUAAUAAUAAUAAUAAUAAUAAUAAUCAGAACAAAUACAAUAAGUCUUUCCACAGAAAAGUGGAAAGACUUAAUUAAAAACCAAUUGUUCAGAGAACAAUUGAAAGUCUUUCCAAACUAAAGUAAUUUGGAUAAGAAGGUAGUUUCUUUAUACUGAUGCGAUAAAUGAUGGUUUAAUUAUAUUUUUGAGUGAUAUAAGGGAGAUAAUAUGCUACUUCCGGUGAAAUUAAUGUCACAUCCGGUCUCAUAUGAUAGCUUCUUUCACACUGAUUCCAAAAAUAUAUAGUUUCUAUAUACUUUUGUAUGUAGAAUGGGAGAUAAUUGGCCACUUCCGGUUUGUUGGAAGUCAUUUUUAGUCUUCAGUAAUCUGUUCAUGUAUCUAUAUACAAAAUAUAUGGAUUCUGGGUACUUUUUAAGUGAAAGAAAUUGCAAAAAUAGCUACUUCCGGUUUUCUAAAGGUCACUUCCGGUAGCCAUUUUUCAAGGUCAUUAGUCACUUAACCUUUUGUAUAAGGUCAAAUGUCUUUAUAAUGAACUUACUUGAAGUUAUAAUCAAAUAACCUCAUAUCAAGACAUUUCAGGGUCACCAACUCCUAUAAGAUGCCAUUUAAUUGUAUAAGACAAAAUGUAGCAUAUCUUCAUUACAAUAAAGCGGACAUUUUGCACUUGUUCUUUUAUAUGUAUCUCUCAAAGUAAGGGGAAAAUGCAAAAACAAGCAAAAGUCAUAAUUUAGAACUUGACCUUGACAUUUGACCUUGACAUAAUUUUCUAAGUAAGGACCCAGGGGACUCAAAUAAAACAUGCAAGGGUUAUACGGUUAACGGUUUAUGAGAUAAAAAAACAUACGAACAAAUUUAUUCCGUAAAGGUAGAUAACUCCUAUAAAAUUUCAUCAAAUCGCUUCGAUCCAAAUACGCCAAAAAAUCCUGAGGAUGUAACGAACAAUUUGUAAAAAGAAUUUUGUCGCUAUCUUUUUUUGUUACGAAGGAGAUACGCUCUGAUGAUAAACGGUAAAUAGGGAGAUAACUCUUACAAAGAAAAUGGUUCGGCUUAGCAGGGUGAAUUUAAAAGCGCAUAAACUAUACGAUACAAUAUGAAAAAUAUCUAAGCGACAUAUUGCGAAACAAACAUUUAUCGCAAGAACAAAAUUGGCGGAAAAAAAAAUAAUAAUUAAAACCAAUUGUUCAGAGAACAUGAGGUCUUUCAUCAAAACAAUGUAUUGAUAUGAAAAGUUGUGAAACUAAGUUUAAAAUUCAUUUCAAUCGUCAAAUGAUAGCUCUAGUAAGCUGAUCCAAAAAUAUAUUGUUUCCAUACAUUUUUUUAAAUAAGGAGAUAAUUUGUUACUUCCGGUUUGAAAAAUGUUACUUCGAUUAUAUUUGAAUAUUUACUUGACACAUUCCAAAAAUAUCUGGUUCUAUAUACUUUUAUAUUAAUAAAGUACAAAUAAAUAGCUAUUUCCGGUUUACAAAAGGUCACUUCCGGUUGUUUUUUACAAGGUUAAAUGGUUUGAUACCUUUUUCUAAAAGUUGUAUAUCUUUAUCAUGUAUACAUAUAGAAUAAAAGCAAAGGUCAAAAUCUAGAACGUCAAAUUAAGCUAUGACCUGAGAUCAAUUUCAAGGUCAUAAACAAGGACCUCAAAUCAAAGACCAUAGGUCUUUAUAUAUCUUAUAUACUAAAAUACGAGUCCAAUUUGUCAGCCGUCAUCACGUAAAAAACGACGAAUCAAAGAAUUCAACUUUAUAUAUAAACUAAUAUAGUACAAAGGUGUAGAUUAAAAAUUACACCACUCCAGGCCUUUGUUUUCCACGUAAUUAAUAUUGCCAUAAUUAAGAAGUUCCGGUCGAGUCCGAUCCGAUACCAAUAGUAUAUUCACCUGUUCCGACUACCUUAUCUGUACGUUCCGCAUCUGACAGGGCCACCACCAAACGUGUAUUCAGGAUUAAUAUGCUUAAGUAUUACACGGUUCAUAAUCACAGGGUUGCACUACUUAAUUGUCAAAUUGUUACCUAUUGUAGUAUUUUAAUCAGUUAGACUUUCUAAGAUAACAAUACGAAUACUAAAAAUCUGGACUAAAAUAAGCGGUAUAGGUACAGUUUCAUUUGUUGGCGCAUGACGUAAAACAGCGAAUCAAAGAAUUCAAAUUUAUUAACUAAAUAUAGGACAAUGCUGUUGAUUAAAAAUAUUCCAUUCAGGACCUUUUUUUUCCAAUAAUUAAUUUAUCAAUAAUUGAUAAGUUCCAAUUCGACGGUUCAAACAGAAGAAUUUGAAACAGAGAAAACUGUGUAUCUUAUAAUCGCAUGACUUUAUCAGAUGACAUUAAUACUAAAUAAGGCUGCGCAUAGUUAUAUACUUUAAUUCAGUCACGGACCCGCGAUAUACGGGUGUGUUCUAGUUUAGUAAAUGAGUUAUAUCACCAAACGCGUAUUUUUAAAUACAAGAGGGGAGAAAACUCCCUUUUACAUUCAACGUACGCUUGCAAUCAAAUAUACAUCUUACGACAUGUCGCAACUAACAAUUUAGUAAAAAAUAAUUUGUUGAUAUCUUUACAGUCUUGGAUAUAAGUGAAAAUAAGCCAAUUCAAUAUUAGAAUAUGACCUUGACUUUGACCUUGACUAAUUUCAUUUUUGGACCAAGGACCUCAAAUCAAAAGAUCUUAGUCUCUAUCACUUAUGAUUUAUAGAUAGAAAUUCAUAUCACUUAUAUCAGAUGCAUAAGGGAAAUAACUUCAUAUGGAGCGGUCAUAUCGCCUCGGUCAAAAUGGACAAAUCAUGCGAAGGAUAUAACGAGCAAUUUUGUAAAAUAAAUUUGUCAUAAUCUUUUAGGGUUGCGAAGAGAUGCGCUAACAGGAAAACAGUGUUUGGGGAGAUAACUCUACAAAGAAAAGUAUUCGUUUACGCAGCGGUAAAUUUCAAAAGCGCAUAAACUGUCGAUAUAAUAUACCAAAUAUCUAGCGACAUAUUGCGAAACAAUGUUUAUCGCAAAACAAAAUUAGGCAGAAGAAAAAAAAAAAAAUAAUCAGAAGAAAAACAAUAGGUCUUUCCACAGAAAAGUGGAAAGAAUAAUAAUAAUCAGAACAAAUACAAUAAGUCUUUCCACAGAAAAGUGAAAGACUUAAUAAUAAUAAUAAAAUAAUUAAAAACCAAUUGUUCAGAGAACAAUUGAAGGUUUCCAUAUCAAAGAAAUUUUGAUAAAGAUAGUUGUUCAUACUGAUACGAUAAAUAAUGGUUUAUCAUAUUUUUAAGUGAUAUAAAGGAAUAAUAUGCUACUUCCGGUGAAAUGAAUGUCACUUCCGGUCUAAUAUGAAGCUUCUUUCACACUGAUUCCAAAAAUGUAUAGUUUCUAUAUACUUUUGUAUUUAGAAUGGGAGAUACAUGUCAUUCCGGUUUGUUGGAAGUCAUUUUAGUCUUCAGUAAUCAGUUUAUGUAUCUAUUGACAAAAUAUAUGGAUUCUGAAGUACUUUAUACGAAAAAAAUUGCAAAAAAAGGUUACUUCCGUUUCUCAAGGUCACUUCGUAGUAUUUUCAAGGUCAUUUGUCAUCCAACCUUUUGCACAAGGUCAAAUGCCAUUAAAAUGCACUUAGUUGAAGUUAUAAUCAAAUAACCUCAUAUCAAGACAUUUCAGGGGCACUAACUCCUAUUAAUGCUAUUUAAUUGUAUCAGACCAAUUAACAUAUUUCAUAACUAUAUAGCAAUCAUUUUGCACUUGUUUUAAUAUGUACCUUUUCAAGGUUGGAGAAAAUGCAAAAACAUGGAAAUUCGAAUUAGAAACUGACCUUGACCUUGACCCCAUUUUCUAAUAAAGGCCUAGGGAUCUCAAAUAAAUACAUUCCAGGUUAUACGGUUUGACGGUUUAUUAGUUAAAACACAUAUUGAGAAAAUAAUUUUAAAGGUAGAUAACUCCUAUAAAAUUUUCAUCGAAUGCUUCGCUCCAAAUAAGCCAAAUUUUCUUAGGAUGUAACGAACAAUUUUGUAAAAAGAAUUUUGUCGCAUCUUUUUUUGUUACAAAGGAGAUGCACUCUGAUGAUAAACAGUGAAUAGGAGAUAACUCUUACAAAGAAAAGUGUUCGGCUUAGCAGGGUUAAAUGAAAGCGCAUAAACUGUACGAGUACAAUAUGAGAAUAUCUAAGCGACAUAUUGCGAAACAAACAUUUGUCGCAAUAUCAAAUUAGCGGAGAAAAAAAAAAAAAAAAAAAAAAAAAAUAAUAAUCAAAAGAAAUACAAUGCUUUCCACAGAAAAGGAAAGACCUAAUAAUAAUCAGAAAAUACAUAAGUCUUUUCACAAAAAAUGAAAAGACUUAUAAUCAGAACAAAUACAAUAAGUCUUUCACAAAAAAGUGAAAGACUUAAUUAAUAAUAAUAAUAAUUAAAAACAAUGUUCAGAGAACAAUUGAAAGUCUUUCCACACCAAAGAAAUUUUGAUAAGAUAGUUUCUUCAUACUGAUGCGAUAAAUAUGGCUUAAUUAUAUUAAUGAGUGAUAUAAGGGAGAUAAUUGCUACUUCCGGUGAAUGAAUGUCACGCCCGGUCUCAUAUGAUAGCUAUUUCACACUGAUUCCAAAAACAUAUAGUUUCUUUAUACUUUUAAUGUAGAAUGGGAGAUAAUUGGCCACUUCCGGUUUGUUGGGAGUCAUUUGUAGUCUUCAGUAAUCAGUUUAUGUAUCUAUAUGACAAAAUAUAUGGAUUCUGAGUACUUUUAUACGAAAUAAUUGCAAAAAAGGCUACUUCCGGUUUUCUCAAGGUCACUUCCGGUAGUCAUUUUUCUCAGGUCAUUUGUCACCUUACCUUUUGUAUAAGGUCAAAUGCCUUUAUAAUGAACUUAGUUAAAGUUAUAAUCAAAUAACCUCAUAUCAAGACAUUUCAGGGGCACAACUUGCUUAUAAGAUGCCAUUAAAUUUAUUAGACUAAAUGUAGCAUAUCUUCAUUACAAUAAAGCAGACAUUUUGCACUUGUUCUUUUAUAUGUAUCUUUUAAGGUGUUGGAGAAAAUGCAAAAACAAGCAAAAGUCACAAUUGAGAACUUGACCUUGACCUUUGACUUUGACCUCAUUUUUUAAGUAAGAACCUAGGGGCCUCAAAUAAAAAUAUCCCAGGGUUACAUAGUUAACCGUUUAUGAGUUAAAAAAACAUACCGUCAAAUUUAUAUGUAAUGGAAAAUAACUCCUAUAAGUUUUCAUCAUAUCGCUUCGAUCCAAAUGAGCCAAAAAUUAGUGAGGAUGUAACGAACAAUUUGUAAAAGGAAUUUUGUCGCUAUCUUUUUUUGUUACAAAGGAGAUGCACACAGAUGAUAAACAGUGAAUAGGGAGAUAACUCUUACAGAGAAAAUGGUUUGCCUUCGCAGGGUGAAAUUUAAAAGCGCAUAAAACUAUACGAUACAAUAUGAGAAAUAUCUAAGUGACAUAUUUGCGAGCAAACAUUUAUCGCAAGAACAAAAUUUGGCUGAAAAAAAAAAAAAAAAAUAAAUAAAAACCAAUUGUUCAGAGAACAAUUGAAAGUCUUUCCACAUCAAAGAAAUUUUGAAUAAGAAAGUUAUUCUUCAUACUGAUACGAUAAAUAAUGGUUUAAUUAUAUUUUUGUGUAAUAAGGGAGUUAAUGAUGGUGAAAUGAAUGCUACUUCCGCUAUCAUAUGAUAGCUUCUUUCAACAUGAUUCCAAAAAAUAUAAGUUUCUAUUUACUUUUGUAUGUAUAGAAUGGGAGAUAAUUGGUCACUUCCGGUUUGUUGGAAGUCAUGUUUAGUCUUUCAGUAAUCAGUUUAUGUAUCUAUAUGACAAAAUAUAUGGAUUCUGAGUAAUUUGAUAUGAAAAAAUUGCCAAAAAAGGCUACUUCCGGUUUUCUCAAGGUCACUUCCGGUUGUAAUUUUUCAAGGUCAUUUGUCACCUAACCUUUUGUACAAGGUCAAAUGCCUUUAUAAUGAACUUAGUUUGAAGUUUAUAAUCAAAUAACUCAUAUAAAGACAUUUCAGGGGCACCAACUACUAUAAGAUGCCAUUAUAUAUUAUAAGUCUAAAAUGUAGCAUUUCUUCAUUACAAUUAUCUUUCAAAGUGUCAGAGAAAAUGAAAAAACAUGCAAAAGUCACAAUUGAGAACUUGACCUUGACCUUUGACCUUGACCUAAUUUUCUAAUUUAGGACCUAUAUGACUCAAAUAAAAACAUUCCAGGGUUAUACGAUUAACGGUUUAUGAGUUAAAUGACAUACGACAAAUUUAUUUUGUAAAGGUAGAUAACUCUAUAAAAUUUCAUCGAUCGCUUCGAUCCAAAUUAGCCAAAAAUUUCCUGAGGAUGAAACGAACAAUUUGUAAAAAGAAUUUUGUUGCUAUCUUGUUUUGUUACGAAGGAGAUGCACACAGAGGGUAAACAGUGAAAAGGAAGAUAACUCUUACAAAGAAAAUGGUUCGUCUUAUCAGGGUGAAAUUUAAAAGCGCAUAAACUAUACGAUACAAUAUGAGAAAUAUCUAAGCGACAUAUUGCGAAACAAACAUUUAUCGCAAGAACAAAAUUUGGUGGAAAAAAAAAUAAUAAUCAGAACAAAAACAAUUAAAAACCAAUUGUUCAGAGAACAAUUGAAAGUCUUUCCACACCAAAGAAAUUUGGAUAAGAAGGUAGUUUCUUCAUACAGAUGCGAUAAAUAAUGGUUUAAUUAUCUUUUCAGUGAUAUAAGGGAGAUAAUAUGCUAUACUUCGGGAAAAAUGUCGUCACAUCGGUCUCAUAUGAUAGCUUCUUUCACACUGAUUCCAAAAAUUAUAGUUUCUAUAUACUUUUGAAUGUAGAAUGGAGAUAAUUGGCCACUUCGUUUGUUGAAGUCAUUUUUAUUCAGUUAUCUGUUCAUGUAUCUUUAUGACAAAAUAUCUGAUUCUGAGUACUUUUAUGUAAAACAUUGCAAAAAAAGCUACUUUCGGUUUUUCCAAGGUCACUUCCGGUAGCCAUUUUUCAGGUCAUUUGUCACUUAACCUUUUGUAUAAGUCAAUGUCUUUAUAAUGAACUUAAUUGAAGUAUUAUCAAAUAACCUCAUUAUCAAGACAUUUCAGGGCAUCAACUCCUAUAAGAUGCCAUUUAAUUGUUAGACUAAUGUAGAUAUUUCACUACAAUAAAGCUGACAUUUUGCACUUGUUCUUUUAUAUGUAUCUCUGUAAAGUGUCAGAGAAAAUGCAAAAACAAGCAAAAGUCACAAUUGUGGAACUUGACCUGACCUUUGACCUUGACCUCAUUUUCUAAGUAAGGACCUAGGGGACUCAAAUAAAAACAUUCCAGGGUUAUACGGUUAACUGUUUAUGAGUUAAAUAAACAUACCGACAAAUUUAUUUUGUAAAGGUAGAUAACUCCUAUAAAAUUUCAUCGAAUCGCUUCGAUCCAAAUACGCCAA